RNAcentral lists this ribosomal RNA (448 nucleotides) under uncultured Rhodocyclaceae bacterium. RNAcentral's name for it is "bacterial SSU rRNA". It matches the Rfam family "Bacterial small subunit ribosomal RNA", at positions 933 to 1382 of the family's 1533-position model. The record is from RNAcentral. Lineage: Bacteria; Pseudomonadati; Pseudomonadota; Betaproteobacteria; Rhodocyclales; Rhodocyclaceae.
UGGAUGAUGUGAUUAAUUCGAUGCAACGCGAAAACCUUACCUACCCUUGACAUGUCCGGAAUCCCGAAGAGAUUUGGGAGUGCUCGCAAGAGAACCGGAACACAGGUGCUGCAUGGCUGUCGUCAGCUCGUGUCGUGAGAUGUUGGGUUAAGUCCCGCAACGAGCGCAACCCUUGUCAUUAGUUGCCAUCAUUUGGUUGGGCACUCUAAUGAGACUGCCGGUGACAAACCGGAGGAAGGUGGGGAUGACGUCAAGUCCUCAUGGCCCUUAUGGGUAGGGCUUCACACGUCAUACAAUGGUCGGUACAGAGGGUUGCCAACCCGCGAGGGGGAGCUAAUCCCACAAAGCCGAUCGUAGUCCGGAUCGCAGUCUGCAACUCGACUGCGUGAAGUCGGAAUCGCUAGUAAUCGUGGAUCAGCAUGUCACGGUGAAUACGUUCCCGGGUCUU